AUUGAACGCUGACGGCAGGCUUAACACAUGCAAGUCGAGCGGAGAUGAGGUGCUUGCACCUUAUCUUAGCGGCGGACGGGUGAGUAAUGCUUAGGAAUCUGCCUAUUAGUGGGGGACAACAUUCCGAAAGGAAUGCUAAUACCGCAUACGUCCUACGGGAGAAAGCAGGGGAUCUUCGGACCUUGCGCUAAUAGAUGAGCCUAAGUCGGAUUAGCUAGUUGGUUGGGUAAAGGCCUACCAAGGCGACUAUCUGUAGCGGGUCUGAGAGGAUGAUCCGCCACACUGGGACUGAGACACGGCCCACACUCCUACGGGAGGCAGCAGUGGGGAAUAUUGGACAAUGGGGGGAACCCUGAUCCAGCCAUGCCGCGUGUGUGAAGAAGGCCUUAUGGUUGUAAAGCACUUUAAGCGAGGAGGAGGCUACUGAGACUAAUACUCUUGGAUAGUGGACGUUACUCGCAGAAUAAGCACCGGCUAACUCUGUGCCAGCAGCCGCGGUAAUACAGAGGGUGCGAGCGUCAAUCGG
This 526-nucleotide ribosomal RNA is filed under the name uncultured bacterium. RNAcentral's name for it is "bacterial SSU rRNA". It matches the Rfam family "Bacterial small subunit ribosomal RNA", at positions 28 to 548 of the family's 1533-position model. The record is from RNAcentral.